Molecule: long non-coding RNA, 999 nt
Filed under: Pogona vitticeps (central bearded dragon)
Lineage: Eukaryota; Metazoa; Chordata; Lepidosauria; Squamata; Agamidae
Description: lncRNA (ENSPVIG00000018946.1)
Source: RNAcentral
CUCUCCAUCCUCUAGAUUUUCUUCCCUUAUUAAUUCUUUCAGGCAUAUCAAACCAUUUUUUUCCUCUGUGUAACUUACCUUUCUCACCCAAGACUAAAUUCAACACACACCAAACCCAGGUACUCUUCACUCUGCCCCCUACCCUGUGACUUUUGAGAGCCUUCUCGCUGUCAUUUUGUUCAUCUCUUACCCUACUCUUCCAGGAGUUGAACUCAGAGUUUGGUUCAUUCUUGCUAUCUAUUCUGUUCUCAUUUCAAUCUAAUUUUUGUUUCUGUACUCCUAAAGAAACAGUGCCUUGAUUUGUACCCCUGAGUCUCCUAUUUUUCUUCUCUCAGCUGAAGAAGUCCACCUGUUGCUAGGUCUCCUUUCUUAUCUAUUGUUUAUAGUGCUUGUUCUUGCUGCUAGGAUACCCAGGAGGUUGUGACAUCAUAGCCUGUCAUCUUCCUCUGUCCAGUUAAUGGAGCUGAAUUGAGUAGAACAGGUUCCCACAUAACAGUCUUCUUCCUCAAUUUAUCCUUAUAACAGUCAGGGAAAUCAGAGGCUGUCUGGCUCAGCAUUGCUCAGUGACAUUGAUGGUUCAGUGGGGCCUAGAUCCCUACUCUCACAGGUCCCACUCCAAUAUUUCUAUCUUUGCACCACCCUGAAGAUCAUCCUAACUGCAGUUUAAGAUAUCUGGAGGCCCUCCAGGGAGGGAGGGCUACCUAAGAGAACAGCAAAACCUGUGAUUGAUAUGUGAUUGCAGAGAGAAUGUUUUGUACUUAAUGUGUGCAAGCUGGGUCCAAGGACCAGACCUGAGCCAAACAAAGAGCAAAGACACCUGUUUUCCAUUUCAGCCACACAGGAGAUUGGGCCUUAAGGAUUCUACUUCAGGCAGAAAAAUCUCUGAGGCUAACACUGACCAUUCCAAGUGGAUCAAGCGGCACUCACAAGAACAGGAGUCAACAAUGAAAGGUUUUCAACAGGUCCUGGCCAAAUAAAAUGUUAUAAAGUGAGAGUAAA